UAGACGUAAAUAUGGAAGUCGUCAUCAAGC
Molecule: non-coding RNA, 30 nt
Filed under: Mus musculus (house mouse)
Lineage: Eukaryota; Metazoa; Chordata; Mammalia; Rodentia; Muridae
Source: RNAcentral